GCAGUCGAACGGCAGCACGGGUGCUUGCACCUGGUGGCGAGUGGCGAACGGGUGAGUAAUACAUCGGAACGUACCUUAUCGUGGGGGAUAACGCAGCGAAAGCUGUGCUAAUACCGCAUACGCCCUGAGGGGGAAAGCGGGGGAUCGAAAGACCUCGCGCGAUUAGAGCGGCCGAUGCCUGAUUAGCUUGUUGGUGGGGUAAAAGCCCACCAAGGCGACGAUCAGUAGCUGGUCUGAGAGGACGAUCAGCCACACUGGGACUGAGACACGGCCCAGACUCCUACGGGAGGCAGCAGUGGGGAAUUUUGGACAAUGGGGGAAACCCUGAUCCAGCAAUGCCGCGUGAGUGAAGAAGGCCUUCGGGUUGUAAAGCUCUUUUGUCAGGGAAGAAACACCGGCUCUAACACAGUCCGGGAAUGACGGUACCUGAAGAAUAAGCACCGGCUAACUACGUGCCAGCAGCCGCGGUAAUACGUAGGGUGCGAGCGUUAAUCGGAAUUACUGGGCGUAAAGCGUGCGCAGGCGGUUAUACAAGACAGGCGUGAAAUCCCCGGGCUUAACCUGGGAAUGGCGCCUGUGACUGUAUAGCUAGAGUGUGUCAGAGGGGGGUAGAAUUCCACGUGUAGCAGUGAAAUGCGUAGAUAUGUGGAGGAAUACCAAUGGCGAAGGCAGCCCCCUGGGAUAACACUGACGCUCACGCACGAAAGCGUGGGGAGCAAACAGGAUUAGAUACCCUGGUAGUCCACGCCCUAAACGAUGCUGACUAGUUGUUCGGGAUUUACAUCCUGAGUAACGUAGCUAACGCGUGAAGUCAGCCGCCUGGGGAGUACGGUCGCAAGAUUAAAACUCAAAGGAAUUGACGGGGACCCGCACAAGCGGUGGAUGAUGUGGAUUAAUUCGAUGCAACGCGAAAAACCUUUCCUACCCUUGACAUGUCACUAACGAAGUAGAGAUACAUUAGGUGCCCGUAAGGGAAAGUGAACACAGGUGCUGCAUGGCUGU
RNAcentral lists this ribosomal RNA (1002 nucleotides) under uncultured Burkholderiaceae bacterium. Its description in RNAcentral is "bacterial SSU rRNA". It matches the Rfam family "Bacterial small subunit ribosomal RNA", at positions 57 to 1052 of the family's 1533-position model. Lineage: Bacteria; Pseudomonadati; Pseudomonadota; Betaproteobacteria; Burkholderiales; Burkholderiaceae. The record is from RNAcentral.